UCCCUGGUGGCUCAGAUGGUAAAGAAUCUGCCUGCAAUGCAGAAGACCUGGGUUUGAUCCCUGGGUCGGGAA
This 72-nucleotide transfer RNA is filed under the name Ovis aries (sheep). It matches the Rfam family "tRNA". From Rfam's summary of the family: Transfer RNA (tRNA) molecules are approximately 80 nucleotides in length. The record is from Rfam by way of RNAcentral. Lineage: Eukaryota; Metazoa; Chordata; Mammalia; Artiodactyla; Bovidae.